AAGAUAAGAUAGGGUGCUUCAGCACCGAAUGUGGCAUACCUUACUCAAUUACACUGUAGGCAGGUGAGGGGUAUCACAUACUUGACUGCAGUAAGAUACAAAAUUCAAGGAUAAGCUUGAAUAACUAAAAUCCUUUAAGAGAACCAUAUGCUUACAGAAAAAUGGAAUGUAAUUAUGGGAACUAGACUUGGAAGACAUAUAUAGGUCAUUGAAAACAAAGACCCUGCACAUACAGAUGAUCUAGAAAGGGGAAAAAAAAAGACAUGACUUUCAAAACAAACUAUGAGAAGAACAUAGUCAAGAAUAUAAUACUCAUGGGCUGGCAUACCUCAACUAAAUGAAAACCUUAAAUGACAGAACCGUUGAAAUAAUCAACACCACUUAUGAUGCAUACCCUUGACCAUCCCUUGAUAAAACUGUUCAUUAUCAACUCCUGAAUGAGAAGCUGAGCACAACGCAAGAUUGGAAUGAUUGAACUAUGGAUUCAAAUUCAGAAAUUGACGGAUAAGUAAAUUGAAAGGCAUUGGAUGGUCCAAGUUGAUUUGCUAUCAUCUUUCCAGAAUCAGCUCCGCCUUAGAACGCUUUUCACAGGAGAAAUCAAAAAAUAAAGCGUUCUAUGCACACAAAGGAUUCAUCCCCAGCACAACUGUUUAAAAAUACCAAUCUUACAAGAAGGGAUCAAAAAUUUAGACAAUCAUUAGCAAGCAACAACUUAAGGUUUGGCACUCAAAAACUCCAAUCGCAUAGAACAUAAUCUCAGAAUAAUAACCAAAGCAAGAGUUUAACUAAGUAUAAAAUAUUGAAAACAUAGACAUUUAAAUGUAAAUUUGGGUAGGUGGAUAAACUACUCAGUGGUAAUCCAAAAAUUAUCCCAAAAGCUCUGAUCAAUAAAAGAAACCAAGUACUUUGCCUCCAACAUUCUUUCUCCUAGCUUCUUCAUGAUCCAUGAUACCAGCAGAUGUUGUCAGCACAAUAUAUCCAAACUGCAUAUAUUCAUUAAAAAAAUUAAAUACCCUUCAGGGUGCUAAAACCGUAUAUAUGUAACUAUAAAACAGCAUCUACAAAUAAACUUUUAAUACAAUGACAUUGUAAUGCACAUGAGCCAGAAAGAAAAGGUGCUAACCAGUUCCCAAAAACUUGACCUAAGAGACAAAAUAACACCCAUUAAACUACCUUCCAAUAGAAAACAUAAAAACAGAGUUGACACCAAACUCCUAGAUAUCCCAUUUGGCCAAAAAAAUAAAAAAAUAAAUUUCCCUAAAUUGAAAACUUUUGUUCUCUGAAACUGCAUUUUUAAGACUCACCUGUCUUGAAGGAAGCAAUCUAGCAGUCCAACCUUCAAUCUCUUUGACUCCAACAUCAAAGCGAGGACUAAUAACUCCACAUUUGUUCAACCGCCCAUUCAGUUCAACCACAAUUUUUCCAGCUCUGUGAUCAUCAACAUACUCAAACUCUCCAAUAUAACCAUGCUUCUGCAUGACCAAAAGAAACUUGAUGAUCACUUUUGAGGAUGGCCUGAUCAUAACCUGUCGUUUACCCCUCUUCUCUGCAUUAUACAUGCUCUUCAGAGCAUCAUUUAAAACACUGACUCUCACCAUUCUUCCAAAUGCAAGCUACGGAGGGCAGAAACGGAGGCUACGUCUGGUAGCUGGAAGCUUGGAGCAGUGGAAGAAGCGGCUCC
This 1681-nucleotide unclassified non-coding RNA is filed under the name Hevea brasiliensis (rubber tree). The record is from RNAcentral. Lineage: Eukaryota; Viridiplantae; Streptophyta; Magnoliopsida; Malpighiales; Euphorbiaceae.